GUCGGUUUGAAAGACAGACCUCAUACAAAGCAGUUUAUUAAAGCAGUUCUCAUCCUCAGGCGUUAUCCCAGAUAUCCCUUUCUUUUGAGUACCUCCAUUAAGUGCUAAGUAGUUUCUGUAAAACAGGCCAUGUUCGCCUAAAAAGGCUCAAUUAAAGGUAAUAUCACAUGUCUAAUAAAAUGACUGGUUUAGUAAAAUGGUUUAAUGCGGAUAAAGGUUUUGGCUUCAUUUCCCCUUCUGACGGGAGCAAAGAUGUGUUUGUACACUUCUCUGCGAUUCAGAGUAAUGAAUAUCGCACUUUGGAUGAAGGUCAGAAAGUCGAGUUCACUAUCGAGAAAGGCGCCAAAGGCCCGGCAGCAGCAAACGUUGUACCUGUUACAGCGUAAAAUCUUUCCUGAAUUCCUUCCCUUGCGAUAACGAAAACGGCCU
RNAcentral lists this small RNA (429 nucleotides) under Xenorhabdus szentirmaii DSM 16338. RNAcentral describes it as "cspA thermoregulator". It matches the Rfam family "cspA thermoregulator". The record is from Rfam by way of RNAcentral. Lineage: Bacteria; Pseudomonadati; Pseudomonadota; Gammaproteobacteria; Enterobacterales; Morganellaceae.